GAUGAACGCUGGCGGCGUGCCUAAUACAUGCAAGUCGAGCGAACGGACGAGAAGCUUGCUUCUCUGAUGUUAGCGGCGGACGGGUGAGUAACACGUGGAUAACCUACCUAUAAGACUGGGAUAACUUCGGGAAACCGGAGCUAAUACCGGAUGAUAUUUUGAACCGCAUGGUUCAAAAGUGAAAGACGGUCUUGCUGUCACUUAUAGAUGGAUCCGCGCUGCAUUAGCUAGUUGGUAAGGUAACGGCUUACCAAGGCAACGAUGCAUAGCCGACCUGAGAGGGGGAUCGGCCACACGGGAACUGAGACACGGUCCAGACGCCUGCGGGAGGCAGCAGUAGGGAAUCUUCCGCAAAGGGCGAAAGCCUGACGGAGCAACGCCGCGUGAGUGAUGAAGGUCUUCGGAUCGUAAAACUCUGUUAUUAGGGAAGAACAUAUGUGUAAGUAACUGUGCACAUCUUGACGGUACCUAAUCAGAAAGCCACGGCUAACUACGUG
Molecule: ribosomal RNA, 497 nt
Filed under: uncultured bacterium
Lineage: Bacteria
Description: partial 16S ribosomal RNA
Rfam family: Bacterial small subunit ribosomal RNA
Source: RNAcentral